UACGUAGGGAGCGAGCGUUGUCCGGAAUUACUGGGUGUAAAGGGUGCGUAGGCGGCCUUGCAAGUCAGGCGUGAAAACCAUGGGCUCAACCCGUGGACUGCGUUUGAAACUGUGAGGCUUGAGUGAAGUAGAGGUAGGCGGAAUUCCCGGUGUAGCGGUGAAAUGCGUAGAGAUCGGGAGGAACACCAGUGGCGAAGGCGGCCUACUGGGCUUUAACUGACGCUGAGGCACGAAAGCAUGGGUAGCAAACAGG
This 253-nucleotide ribosomal RNA is filed under the name uncultured bacterium. RNAcentral describes it as "partial 16S ribosomal RNA". It matches the Rfam family "Bacterial small subunit ribosomal RNA", at positions 524 to 776 of the family's 1533-position model. The record is from RNAcentral.